Molecule: ribosomal RNA, 429 nt
Filed under: Bacteroidota bacterium
Lineage: Bacteria; Pseudomonadati; Bacteroidota
Description: Bacteroidetes bacterium partial 16S ribosomal RNA
Rfam family: Bacterial small subunit ribosomal RNA
Source: RNAcentral
UAGGGAAUCUUCCGCAAUGGACGCAAGUCUGACGGAGCAACGCCGCGUGAGUGAAGAAGGAUUUCGGUUCGUAAAACUCUGUUGUUAGAGAAGAACAGCGCAUAGAGUAACUGUUAUGCGUGUGACGGUAUCUAACCAGAAAGCCACGGCUAAAUACGUGCCAGCCGCCGCGGUAAUACGUUGGUGGCAAGCGUUGUCCGGAUUUAUUGGGCGUAAAGCGAGCGCAGGCGGUCAAUUAAGUCUGAUGUGAAAGCCCCCGGCUCAACCGGGGAGGGUCAUUGGAAACUGGUUGACUGGAGUGCAGAAGAGGAGGGUGGAAUUCCAUGUGUAGCGGUGAAAUGCGUAGAUAUAUGGAGGAACACCAGUGGCGAAGGCGACUCUCUGGUCUGUAACUGACGCUGAGGCUCGAAAGCGUGGGUAGCAAACAGG